RNAcentral lists this ribosomal RNA (303 nucleotides) under uncultured Fusobacterium sp. RNAcentral describes it as "bacterial SSU rRNA". It matches the Rfam family "Bacterial small subunit ribosomal RNA", at positions 1212 to 1513 of the family's 1533-position model. The record is from RNAcentral. Lineage: Bacteria; Fusobacteriati; Fusobacteriota; Fusobacteriia; Fusobacteriales; Fusobacteriaceae.
GGCUACACACGUGCUACAAUGGGUAGAACAGAGAGUUGCAAAGCUGUGAAGUGGAGCUAAUCUCAGAAAACUAUUCUUAGUUCGGAUUGUACUCUGCAACUCGAGUACAUGAAGUUGGAAUCGCCAGUAAUCGCGAAUCAGCAAUGUCGCGGUGAAUACGUUCUCGGGUCUUGUACACACCGCCCGUCACACCACGAGAGUUGGUUGCACCUGAAGUAGCAGGCCUAACCGUAAGGAGGGAUGCUCCGAGGGUGUGAUUAGCGAUUGGGGUGAAGUCGUAACAAGGUAUCCGUACGGGAACGU